RNAcentral lists this transfer RNA (84 nucleotides) under Nanobdellota archaeon. RNAcentral's name for it is "tRNA-Leu". It matches the Rfam family "tRNA". Rfam says of the family: Transfer RNA (tRNA) molecules are approximately 80 nucleotides in length. Their secondary structure includes four short double-helical elements and three loops (D, anti-codon, and T loops). Further hydrogen bonds mediate the characteristic L-shaped molecular structure. tRNAs have two regions of fundamental functional importance: the anti-codon, which is responsible for specific mRNA codon recognition, and the 3' end, to which the tRNAs corresponding amino acid is attached (by aminoacyl-tRNA synthetases). tRNAs cope with the degeneracy of the genetic code in two manners: having more than one tRNA (with a specific anti-codon) for a particular amino acid; and 'wobble' base-pairing, i.e. permitting non-standard base-pairing at the 3rd anti-codon position. The record is from RNAcentral. Lineage: Archaea; Nanobdellati; Nanobdellota.
GCGGGAGUGGCAGAGUGGUCAAAUGCGCUAGAUUCAGAGUCUAGUAGCUUAGUGCUUUCGCAGGUUCGAAUCCUGUCUCCCGCA